The sequence is a transfer RNA, 94 nucleotides long. It matches the Rfam family "tRNA". Rfam says of the family: Transfer RNA (tRNA) molecules are approximately 80 nucleotides in length. The record is from Rfam.
GUGGGUUUGGCCGAGUGGUCUAAGGCGCUACAUUUAGGAAGCAUUGAAUCCUGUAGUAUCUUCGGAUGCGCGAGUUCGAAUCUCGUGACCCACA